GGAGCAGGCUGGAGGGUGUGAGGAGAGAAAGCACCUGUGAUGAAAGAGCCAGGUCUGCACCUGUGGGGGUCACGCCAGGGAGCCACUACUUUCCCUAGGGAGAGGUUGAGAACCACUUUAAUGUACUGUAAAAAUGAAAUGUGCAAGGCACUGUGGUCAGUGGAGGACUGGAAAUGCAUAUGACACCCACAUCAAUAACAAUCCAGGGUAAGAUGGGGCAUGUGCUCUUAGGGAGUGUAAUACCUGAGCUGUAUCUUCCAAGAAAGGAAGCAGUCCAUCUGGUGGGGCACCACAGGGCUUGCUGCAGGCUGAGGAAGCCCGCUAGCCAGGGCUCCGUACCCAUGGCUGGGAUUUGAAUAGCCCUUAUAGUUUAACAAGCGUCUUUUCUAACACUAGUGUAUUUAAUGCUCACAGCAUCCCUGGGCUGUCAGCACAGUAACUAUCCCCAUGCUAUCAGAUGGAGAAUCUGAGACGGGGAAGAGGUUAACCGACUAGCCUAAGGUUGGUCUGGCCCUCUGGUCUGACCCUGCUUAUUGAAGGAGGGCAGAGUGAGGGUCAGCAAAGGAUCUGAGACACAAAAGUAAGAUUUCCCCACUUCGCUUUCUGUAGAUUACAUCCCAGAGAUGGUGAGAGAAGCAGCUGCUGCCUGUGAACAAAGGAAGACAAUUAUUUUUCUUAUAUGAUUUCCUUAGGUGAUAUUUAUGCCAGGUAAAUGGUCUAAGGGUUUUAUUGUUCAAUAGAGUAUAGGGGUAAGGAAUUGAUAGAAUGCCAUUGAGUUAAAAGAACAAGGGAUCUCAAUUUUCUAGAUAAAAUCAUGCUACUCUACCAUUGAGACCAUUUGCCUGGCUUUUCUUCUCUUUAUGUGAUUUUUGCACUCAGGGAGUUUACAGUCUUGAGGCUGGAGGAAGUACACACGUGGUCACUGCACAGAUCUUGGGACCUGGGGCGCAACGCACCCAAAAAGGAGUAGCUCUUGGCUGCCUCCAGGCUUUCUUGAAAACUGAAGUUCACUCAGCCUUGCCAGGUGUGACCUGAAGAUUAACGCUCCGGGGCAACCCUAUCCUGUGGCGGGAAGUUGUUCCCUCUUCAGUUUGAACAAUGCCCAGGCACAUUCCACAUGGUUCCUUAGAGGAUUCCCGUGGGAUUGAAGCCCCCUUGCUCAAGGUGGAAGCCGCUUUAUGAUGCCCCCUUGUUGGCUUCCCUUCCUUCCCCUCUUGCAUCCUGUCCUCUCUCAUUUCUGCUUUCUGGUGCCACCCUCCAAAUAAACUACCUGCACGGAUGUCCUUGACCCAGGCUCCGCUUUUUUGGGGAACCCAGACCAAACACACACACAAACACACACUUGUUUUUCUAGAAAAGCUUGCUCUACAAGACAGGAAAAUGGCGCCACGUAGGUGACGCAUGCCUCAAGUCUUCCAUGACCUCAUAGGAGCUGGGCCUUGCAGGAUGUUGCGGUGGGCACCUAGGCUUUGUGGGGGAGGAGAGACUCAUCUGUCGGAUUGGGGACUUCGGGGAGCACCAAAGGAGGGCCAUUCUAGGAGACGUGGAGUCUUGUGUGCAGAAGCUGGGGGUUUUGGAAAAGAGCUGAAAGAAUGGGCUGCUUGGCUGACUGGAUGUUAGACUUGGGGGAGGCUUUAGGUCUGGGGCAGGCUGAAGUGCAGCUGUGUUGGGCCUGGGGUGCCCGGGGGUCUUUCUCUGCCUGGGAUUCUAUUAUAGGUGGGGUCUUUGCUCCCCUUGGAGUCAUGGAGUGGAGGGAAUCCCUUUCCCUAGCAAGUAGUCUCCUGGCUCAGCCCAGAUGUACUAGUUGAAGAAUCUGAUUUGUUCCCUGCCUGCUGCUUCAUCCUGAGUCUGGAGCCUCUUUCCCAUCCAGUCUCUCCCCAGUCCCAACUUCUUCCAGAAGCUUUCAUGGUGCUUCAGCCCAUCCACCAUGACAAACUCUUCACCCUGACAGUCUAGGACUUGGAAGCAAAGAGUUUAGCAAAGUGUCUUCUCUGUGAACCAGCCUCUGUGUUUGCACCUGUGAUGUUUUCUUAGGGUAAGUGCUGAGGGGAGGGUGCCUGUUUGAGUGCUGCUAAUGGUGCUCAGAACAUUCUAGGUACUUAGUGAUUCGAUGGUACCCUCAGGGACUGAGGUUCUCUCUCAUUUCCUGAAGGGCUGGAAGGCUCACAAAACUCUCACAAGACUGCCACUGGCUGACAGUUUUCCCUUGCUCUCCUGGAACCUGACCGCUGAACCGGCUGUCCCAUCGUAUCUGAUGCCUGGGUUCACUCAGCCGCUGGGAUCUAGGAAGCCCAGUUCAGUAGUGGUUGAACUGUUUACAGCCCAUGAAUAUCUUCAGUUUGGCAAAAGACCAGGGACCUGCUUCUCCUGCCAGGGUCAGUCAGCAGCACUUCAGCUAAUCACCCUGUGUAUGGACAUAGUAUUUUCUAGAUUGCAAAGCACUUACACAUGCAUCGGCUUGCCUUCUCAUCUUUCUACUAAUCCUGUGAGCUAAGCAGGGCAACUAUGAUUUCCAUUUUAGAAACAGACUGAGAAGUGGAGUGAUAACUGGUUGGCUUCAAAGAAUUGGAAACCAGGACUCACUACUAGACCUCAGGGCUAAAGGAGAAAGCAAGCGGCACAUGGCCCAAUCUUAACCUAAAGAUCCCAGAGCAUAAAUUGAGAGAAACCAGAUAACGUGGGACAAUGAAGGGAUAUUGGGUUCCCAGGGCCAAGGGAGGUAUGUGAUGUAGGCAUACAGGGGAGAGAUUCCUCACAAUGAAUGAAGCUGAGAGAGAGAAGAGAAGGUAGCUAGACCCCAGCCCUGCAAAAACAAAACAGAACAAGUAACCCUUACAUUAGGAAUACUAUUUACAGCUUAAUAAGGCCAUUUUGGACAGAAAGAUAAAGACAGAAAAAAAUGCAUGAAUACAUUCUAAAUAAUAAUAACAGAUCUGUGAAUGUACAGAGUGUUAAGUAAGCAUUAAAAUAGGCAACAAUUUAUCUAACUUGAUUUUAUUUUUUUGUGGCAAGAAGUAUACAUAUUUUUAUUUCUUGCAAAGGUCUUUAUAAGUUAAUUUCCUUAUAAGUUAAUUUCCCUUCUCAAAUAAGAAUAAUAACAGGGACUGCUGUAUUUUGAGAUUAAUCUGUAUUUUAAACUGGAAUUUUCCUGCUGCAGUAAUUAUAUUUGCUGUUCCAUUAGUUCACACUUGAUGGUCUGUUGACAUUAGUGUUCCCUGAAAAGCUUCUUGAUGGAUUAUUAUUAUGUUUCCGUUCUGCCCAGGCGACAAACCCACUUAUUUUCUUCUCUGUUGUCAUCUGGCCUUUUCCCUUUUCUUUCUUUCUCUCUCUCUCUUUCUUUCUCUUCCUUCCUUCCUUCCUUCCUUUCUUUCUUUUCUUUCUUUCUUUCUCCUUCCUUUCUCUCUCUCUCCCUCUCCCCUCUCUCUCUUUCUUUCUUUCUUUGCCAUGACCACAGCAUGUGGAAGUUCUUGGGUCAGAAAUUGAACCCGCACCACAGCAACAACCACUGCAGACUAUCUAACUUUAAAUAUCAGGGAGGACAGCUGUGACUUUCUGCAGAAGACAUGACUCAGCUGAAAACGUUGACUUUGGGACCAUGAGCCUUGGGUUCAAAAGCCCACUUGCUAGUGAUGGGACCUUGGACAAGUCAGUAAGUCCUCUUGGGCUUUAUUUUUCCUUUCUGUUGUGUGAGGAGGAUAACGAAAACCUCAAAGGCUAUGGUAAAGAUUGAGUGAAUUAUCUAAGUGAAACCAACUGCCAGUGUGUGUUAGGGCCCUGGGUUUCUCCUCUAUUCAAACAUUAUUGUCCCCAUGGGCGGUAAAAGCAUCUUGAGUUGUAUGUUUCAAGGAUUUGGUCCAGAGGCACUUGCACAAGGCCAUUGUGUCCACUGAGCACUAUAGAUUCGGUGCCUCAGGGGUACAGCUUUAUGGGGAACAGUGGGAAUGUUUGGGAAACAAAAAGAAAUGUAUUGAUUUCAAAAUAUGACAAGAAAAUUGGAAAAUCAAAACUGAUGAACCCUUCAUUAAAUGCCUACAAAACAUUGUAUCAGCUGCUAUUUAUUCUCUUAACUGCUUCUAGCUCUUACGUAGCCAUAUAGAAGUUGAAUUUAAUGUGGAAUGUGGGUAAAUGAAACAUUUUUGACCUGAUGUGGGUUGAGGACUUAGGGACACGGACCUAUACAUUUCUUAAAACAUUUCCACUCCUAUGGUGCAGUCACGGAAUCCCUAAGGAGGAGCCUGGCGUGGUGUGACAGAUGAGGCUGUCUGAGGGGCUUGUCAGUCCUGACCUGUUGCUCUUCUUCAACAGCUAGAUCAGAGGGCAAAGGAUGAGGCUGGCAGAGGAUGGAGAAUGGCUUGGAGAAAGGAUUCUCUGGAUUCUUUCUCAUCAGUGGAUACUCUUUGACGUCUGAGUCAUAAGGCAAUUAACAAUUUGAAUUUGACGUAUACUUUAUUUUAAAAGUCUAGCAGUAUCCAUCGAUCCUUUCCAGGUGCAGUGAGAGCCCCAGAAAAAGAAAAAACGCAGUGUAUGUUGGCAAUAGGAGGGGAUAUUCAUAUUACAUUCUAUUUCUUCUUAUUUACUACAUGAAUGCUUAUUGAAAAAUAUCCUUCACUUGUGUUAAGGCUCUGCCUUCUUUGGUAAAGACAGGGAGUGCUGGACAGAGCUGGGAGAUAAACAGAAGUGUCUGUGUGCUAUAGAAAGAAAAGAAAAUGCUUCAGUAGGAGCUUGGCGCGCCCAGGGAUGGUUUUGAUAUCCAGCAAUUAAGCAAUUAAGGUCAAGCUUAUGCCUCCCAGAAUCACUGCAUUAAAGCAAAGGUAAUUUUAGGAACCCAGGAGGGUGAAUAUUAGAUUGCUCACCAGAC
RNAcentral lists this long non-coding RNA (4858 nucleotides) under Sus scrofa (pig). RNAcentral's name for it is "lncRNA (ENSSSCG00000051996.1)". The record is from RNAcentral. Lineage: Eukaryota; Metazoa; Chordata; Mammalia; Artiodactyla; Suidae.